RNAcentral lists this ribosomal RNA (268 nucleotides) under uncultured prokaryote. Its description in RNAcentral is "partial 16S ribosomal RNA". It matches the Rfam family "Bacterial small subunit ribosomal RNA", at positions 524 to 792 of the family's 1533-position model. The record is from RNAcentral.
UACGUAGGGUGCGAGCGUUGUCCGGAAUUACUGGGCGUAAGGAGCUCGUAGGUGGUUUGUCACGUCGUCUGUGAAAUUCCGGGGCUUAACCUCGGGCGUGCAGGCGAUACGGGCAAUACUUGAGUGCUGUAGGGGAGACUGGAAUUCCUGGCGUAGCGGUGAAAUUCGUAGAUAUCAGGAGGAACACCAAUGGCGAAGGCAGGUCUCUGGGCAGUUACUGACGCUGAGGAGCGAAAGCAUGGGUAGCGACAGGAUUAGAUACCCCGUA